CAGCAGUGGGGGAAAUUAUUGGACAAUUGGGCGCCAAGCCUGAUUCCAGCAAUACCGCGUGUGUGAAGAAAGGCCUGAGGGUUUGUAAAGCAACUUUCAAUGGGAAGGAACACCUAUCGGUUAAUUACCCGGUAGACUGACAUUUACCCAUACAAGAAAGCACCGGCUAACUUCCGUGCCAGCAGCCGCGGGUAAAUACGGAGGGUGCAAGCGUUAAUCGGAAAUUACUGGGCGUAAAAGCGUGCGUAGGCGGUUUUUUAAAGUCAAGAUGUGAAAGCCCUGGGCUUAACCUGGGAACUGCAUUUUGAUACUGGGGAACUAGAGUUGAGUAGAGGAGAGUGGAAUUUCAGGUGUAGCGGUGAAAUGCGUAGAGAUCUGAAGGAACACCAGUGGCGAAGGCGGCUCUCUGGACUCAAACUGACGCUGAGGUACGAAAGCGUGGGUAGCAAACAGGAUUAGAUACCCUGGUAGUCCACGCCGUAAACGAUGUCAACUAACCGUUGGGUUCUUAAAGAACUUAGUGGUGGAGCUAACGUAUUAAGUUGACCGCCUGGGGAGUACGGCCGCAAGGCUAAAAACUCAAAUGAAUUUGACGGGGGCCCGCACAAGCGGUGGAGCAUGUGGUUUUAAUUCGAUGCAACGCGAAGACCCUUACCUACCC
This 661-nucleotide ribosomal RNA is filed under the name bacterium enrichment culture. RNAcentral's name for it is "bacterial SSU rRNA". It matches the Rfam family "Bacterial small subunit ribosomal RNA", at positions 346 to 980 of the family's 1533-position model. The record is from RNAcentral.